GAUGAACGCUGGCGGCGUGCUUAACACAUGCAAGUCGAACGAGAAGUGAAGACGCAAACCUUACUGCGGAUGGCUUUAUUUCGAUUGGCGAACGGGUGAGUAACUCGUGGUUAACCUGCCUCAUACAGGGGGAUAACAGUUGGAAACGACUGUUAAUACCGCAUAACACCACUGCACCGCAUGAUGCGGGGUUAAAAACUCCUAUGGUAUGAGAUGGACCCGCGUUCGAUUAGCCAGUUGGGGGGGUAACGGCCCACGAAAGCGACUAUCGAUAGCCGAUAUGAGAGGAUGACCGGACACAUUGGGACUGAGAAACGGCACAAACUCCUCCGGGAGGGAGCAGUGGGGAAUAUAGCAAAAUGGGGGAAACCAUGAUGAAGCGAGGCUGCGAGAGUGAAGAAGUAUUUCGGUAUGAAAAGCUCUAUCAGCAGGGCAGAAAAUGACGGUACCUGAGCAAGAAGCCACGGCUAACUACGUG
RNAcentral lists this ribosomal RNA (478 nucleotides) under uncultured bacterium. RNAcentral describes it as "partial 16S ribosomal RNA". It matches the Rfam family "Bacterial small subunit ribosomal RNA", at positions 28 to 507 of the family's 1533-position model. The record is from RNAcentral.